Long non-coding RNA from Oenanthe melanoleuca, 334 nucleotides. RefSeq lists it as uncharacterized. Lineage: Eukaryota; Metazoa; Chordata; Aves; Passeriformes; Muscicapidae. The transcript has 3 exons. The record is from RefSeq and is a predicted model, not a curated record.
GACUCCUCUGCUGCCCAGCACUGAUUUUGUUUUUGCUUUCUGUAACCAAUAAAUCUUUUAAAUUGUUAUUUGAUCUUUUAUGGCCCAUUGCGCUCAUUUAUAACAAUUUGGUCUCGUGCCUCGGAUCGAGAUUUUGGAGGGGCUCUCUGCCUGCGGGGAGGCGCGUCCCACCAUUUUGGAGGGCCCGGUUGACCCCUUAAAUUUUGUGCACAAAGUCCGGACGAAGACGCAGGAUGCGUUCAGCCCGGGGACUGGGUACUGAUCCGAAGUUGGAAGGAAAAUCCGAUAACACCCAAGUGGGAAGGACCUUACCAGGUGUUGCUUACAACAGACA